This is a long non-coding RNA of Corvus hawaiiensis (hawaiian crow), 25215 nucleotides long. RefSeq lists it as uncharacterized. The record is from RefSeq and is a predicted model, not a curated record. NCBI's taxonomy places the organism in Eukaryota, Metazoa, Chordata, Aves, Passeriformes, Corvidae. The transcript is spliced from 9 exons.
UGGGAGCAGGAUCGGGACCAAUGCCGGGUGCUCGAUGCCCGGGGCCGGGGCCGUGGCCGCUCGGCCGUUGGAGGUCGGUACGGCCAGUCCCGGGACUGCUGCGGGGGCCGGCCCAGCCCGGGUCGGCCCGGUGGAAUUGCGGGGCGGGCGCUGCGGGACCCUUCCCGCGCCCUGCUCGGACCGCACAGGGCAGAGGCGCGGCGGGGCCGGACAUCCGUGCGGCCGCCCCGAUGCCCCCACCGGAGGCCGGGAGCGGCCGGGAUCGAUGUCAAAAGCUGAAGUGCUCUAACUUCAUGUGCCAAAGCAGAACCUAUUUCUCCUGCCUCUGCCCUGCACGCAGCAGUCAUCCUUGCCCAUGGUGCUGUACAGCAGGUGUUGCUGUGGGAGAGCUUAGCUGCUGGAAGACAAGAGAGUUCCUGCUCACCUCCUCAAGCAUCAAGUUGUGUCAGCUGGGGUGACUGGAGAAGCCCAUCUCCUUCCCAUAUCCUCUGAGACCAGUUUGCUUGUAAGGAGAUUGAAAGUAAGGAAAUCUCACCAGGAGGAGCACCCACAUGCAGCCAUUCCGGAGGAUAUACAAAGGCUGGAGGAUGACUGAAACGCCGUAACGAGUUUUCCACAAAAAAACUCAGUGAAGCUUCAGAAAUCUCUACUGGCUCAUGCUGGUUCUGAGACAUGUCCAAGCUGAUGGUCACGUAAGAGUCCUUAUGGCUCCUUUUGAAGGUCCGAAGGCUUUGUCUUCCAGCGGAAGAGCUUUUCUGGGCAUUAUUUGUGCUGGACUGACCUUGAAAUAAAACUGUUGCUAAGAACUGACAACAGAGUAGGUAUGACAGCUCUGUCAAGGAAUGGAUAAUCUCCCAUCUUUAAAUACACUUUCUAUUUAUGUUGGCAGUGUACGGACUUCUCAGGAUUUUACCUACUAUCCCAGACUAAUACUUCAUAAGUGCCACCAAGGAAACUUCUCAACUUCUCUGCAUAUCUCUUUCUAUUUCAAAACUUCCUAACUGAAUAAUGGGAGUUGGCGGAUACAUCGCUGCCUGUUGAAGCUCACAGCUGAAGAAUGUUCAAAAGGAAAUGAAAAUAUGUGGAAAGUAUUUUUUUACUAUCAAACAGACCUGGAAAUUGUAUCAACUGAGGGGAUAUACCAAUUGCUCCUGCAGCUUAAUUUUUCAUGGGAGUCAGCAAACAUAUAAAACAGAUACACUCACCCUUCUAACUGACAACACUUCCCAAAGAUUCACUCUCCAGCCCUUGGAGCCUGCUUCACCAGCCCCGGGAGCAUGGCCAUGGUGUGGGAGUUCUGUUUCCUUGUGCACUGACUUGGGCUGAGUUUGGGCAUUUCACAUUCCUACUGGCUUGGAAGCUUUUUUCCAAAGCAUGUUCUGCAAGGAAAGAGCUUGGAGGCGGCCGAUCGCAGUUGUCCAGGCCCAAGUCUCCUGGUGAUCUCCCUCCACGUGCUCUGCCGGCUUUCCUUUCUGCGGCGAGUGUCCAGCAGCAGCUGGGAAGACAGGAGAUAAUGGGAGAAGGUCUGCCGUCUUCUGGCUGGAGUGUUUUUUAUACCCUGUAUUAUAAGGAAACCCACACACGGGGAAAGCAAGAAAGAAGUAAAUGGAAAACAAACCACAGACCCAGCCAUUAGUCCUUCUGGGGAAAGCAUGGCCUGGGCUGCAUUCUUCAGCAUCUAGACCCAUUGUGGGAUACACCAGGUGAAAAUGGACAGCAGAGUACUAAAGCAAAGAGGGAGCAAAGAUUAACAUGGGGACUUGGUGGGCUAAGUAUAGGCAAUUCUUCCCUUCUCCAGUGACUUCUAGAAAUGGUGGGGGGAAUUCUGCAGCCAAUAUGAUUUGGUUGAUACGCAAAAUAUAACGUAGAGAUCUGACAGUAGGGAUUGCAGGUAGAAGAUUAGGAAUUCUCUGGCACAGCUGUCAUAUUAUACUAAGCCUGUUACUUCUCUGUAAUCCUAAUUGAUGCUCUCUCUAUUCUGAGCCAGGUUCUCUGGUCGGCCAUCAUUCCGGGGAGUCUGCUGCUGCUCUCACACUGGAGCCUGUUCUUUUGUGCCUUUCCAUGAGGAGCAGCUGAAAUCAUGAGUUAAAUGUUGCUGAUAUUAGAGAGGACUCCUGGCAUCUGCCCCAGACAGAGAAAUCAACAUGUAAUUCAUUAAAGAUACCCAUACCUAUACUGCAAACACGUGUGUCCCAGAUGGUGCCAGUUCCCAUCAGAUUCCCAUAAGAGGGAGCAGGAAGGGUCCAUCCCUACUGAAUGCAGACCCCUGCCCUGAUGGAACCACCCUGGCUCAUCUCCCUGCAGCCUGGCAGAGAUGCUCACAGACCUCUCCCAACUUGGUCUACAUUUUGACCCCAAACUGCCAAGGAAGGUACCAAAUCAAUGUAUUUUUUGGAAGGGAAGGAUGUGGCCUGAGAUCUGGUGUCUCAAGACUAUGCUCCUUGGACAGUGCUGAUCUAGACAUUGUCUUACUCGCAGCAUUUUUCAAAUUGUGUGAUUUCCUACAGUUUGCAACUACACACAGUAGCUAGAAGUUAUGACAUGUACCUGACUUUAAAGGACACUGUCAUUUAGAAAUGCUAUGUACAUGUUCUGCAAAUGUUGUCAUAACCUAUGUUUUAUAGUCUUAGACUGCAAUUAAUGGGGACAAAAAUGGUUCGUAAUGGUUUGUAGUCUGAGAAUACUAGAAUAGUUUAGGUCUGUAUUUUUUUUCUAAAUAUAGAAUUUUAUAUUUACUCAAAAUAGAUCUGUUUGCAGGUUGUGAAGUAUUUAAUACAGAACACAAGAUAAAUGCAGUGAGUAGAUCUUGACUUGCAUCAGGUAAUCAAAGCAGGCAGAAAGGGAGGCAAGUGCAGUAUGUCGGACAGUGGGUCUUUAACCAUGCAGAAAGGUGCAACAGAUCAGAAAGUGUCAUUAUUGUUUCUAUUCCUCUGUGGUCUGCAAAGUGCUGGGAGCAGCACCUUGAAGCAGGGAGUGGGGCUGUGUGGGGCCAGGCUUUCCUCCCUAUAGGCCAUGGACCUCCGAGGCAGCUCAGCGGACCAGUGCAAGGCUUCCAUGCCACCUUGCUGGAGGAGCGGGACAAUCCCGUGUCCCCCAGAGCCCCCACAGGGAUGGAGUCUGCAGGGGCUUGUGCCCAGCUGGGGCCCAGCGUGCAGCAGGGGGGGGUGCUGAGCUCUCAGCGGGUGGUGCUGGCACUGGGGGCAGAGCUGGGCUCCCGCUCUCCUGCAGCAAAGGCACUGCUGGGUGCAGCUCUGGAGACUGGCACUGAUGCACUUGCAUUGCACGGCCAUCACUUUCUCAAAUAGAUAUGUCACUUAUGUUUUCCUUAAUUAAAAUUUCUAUUUUAAAUUUCUAAAGGCUAGUCCUGCCUCUUCACAUGCCUCCCUGAACAUAUGUCUGACCAUGGAGCUGUGUGGUGGCUGUUGUCAGAACCCAGGAAUGCAGCCUCAGGAACAAAGCCCUGUGCAGGCAAAUUUGGCAGAACCUGGGCAGUGUCUGGAGCAGCAGUUAGGAAUCUGGGAUUGGGAGCUGGCCACGCUGUUAUUGACUGGUCUUGCAUUCCCAAGAGGACAAAUCAGGGCCUUGAUUGCCAGGUUUGCUGUUUUAAAAAGCCUUUGCUUUAAUUAAUGUACAGCCUAAGUGUCAUUGUUCUCUUCUCCAUUCUGGAUUGUUUUUCAGAAAACAAGACCAGUUUAGGAAAUUUAAAUUUCUCCUAAAAUAAAAAUUUUAUCUAGAGAAGUCCCUCUGUGCUUCCAUUCUUAGUAUAAACCAAAUUUAUUUACUUCUGUAGUUGAAAUUGCAUUACUAAAGAACAUAAAGUUUCUUUAAUGUUGUUUGAUGUUCUUUGUCUGGUUUUGAAUGGAAGUUGGGAUUAUGUGACCAUCUUGUGGCUGUAACACUUGUCAGUUCAUUUAAAUUAAUAUUUUAGUUUCUUAUUUAUUAUCGCAAGGUUUAUUGGUUUGUUAGAAGUAAUACCCAAAUUUGUGAUGCUGAGAAGGAAAAGCUGCAGCAUGAGCCCACCUGGAAUUCUUGGCAUAGGAGAAAUGCAUUGGGACCAACCAUGGAUGGGCAGGUUCCAGCGCUCCAGUGGUCUGUCUGUCUGUGUGUCUAUUUGUGUGUCUCAUGAUUUUCAGGUUGCUUUUCAUAUCCUGAUGCAACUGAAAAGUCAGCCUUUUUUUAGAAAAGUGUAGAAUCUAAUGAGCAGUGUGUCUGAAAACCUCAGCUGUUCCCAAGACACAGGUGAGUGAUACAAACCUGGCACAAGCAGGUGACAUGUGGAGAUGGGUGUCUUGGAAAUAAAACAUGAAAGGAAUCACACAGUGAUCUAGGGUGGGCAGUUCACAGGGCCAGAGAGUUGGAGACUUUUACAAAACCACCUUGUUCUUCACCUGGUGCCACUGGGCUUCAGUUCACAAAGAAAGUAGCUGGAAAAAUUAGCCAGAAAUAGUUGACCUUUCAAAAGGCCUCUAAAAUACAAUUACCUGAUGUUCACCGAAGUGGUUGAUGUGCUUCCCACUCUAAAUGAUUUUUUAGAUUCACCCAUGUGUGAAUAGCAGUCUGAUUUUAUGGAAGAGGGAAAUGGAGGAAAGAAACUUCAGAAAGGAGAGCAAUACGCCAGGGAAUUUUACUGGUUGUUUGCUUCAGGGGAAGAAAAGGGCAAAUAGAUGCAGCCACCUCAAAGUAGCCUUUUGACUUUGAACUUUAAAGGAACAUGGGAGAGCUCUGAGGUAUUGACAGCACUCGACAGAAGCUGUUCCAUGGCGAUAGGUAGGAAAUUUAGGAUCCAGCGGAAUUUGCUUUCUUAGCCAGAUGACAAAUUCUUUUUUUCCCCCCCAGUACAGCAAAAUUAUUACAGCCCCCAUUUUCCUUACUGCCUUUUCUUUCCUUCUGCCCUGGGUUGUCUGGUGCAGGAGAUCCCAUGCCUGUGUGGCCACAGUGCUCAUGCUGGGAGCUGGCCAUGCCCCCUCUGCAGAGUUUCAGCUCUGACCCUGCACCAAAGCAAGAGAGUUAUCUGGGGCUGCAAUCUCUAGUGGGCUUUAGGCAAAAUACUUUUCUAAGGAAAUUAUUUCUAUGGUUGGCACAAAAGUGCCUCUACCGUGCACCUUUCCAGUGGCGGCUGUGCCCAGGUGCACACAGCAGUCUGGCUUCAAUAGUUCACCCUUCUCUUCACUGCCCCCCUGCUCUGAUCCCCCCAGAAAUGAGGGGCAAAGUGGGGGCAGAGACCACUCCCCAUUGUGGGAAAGCAGCAGCAUUCAAAAGCCCAAAGACUUUUUGAAACCAGGGAAUGGGAUUUCCACAUAUGAUGAGAGAGCAUAUUGUGCAAUAGAAACUACAUUUGUAUGGAAGAAAAUUAUUUUCAAUACCUUGGAACUUGAAGACUUCCAUGAACAAAAGCAAGUGACAAUUCCCUUCCCCAUCUGCAUUAUCUGACAAAACAAACAAGGUCCCUGAGACAGGUCAGACAAGAGCAUCAAUGUGGCAGUUGUAGCGCUGAAGCACUUUUCAUUUGGUCAAGUAUCUAAGUAUCUUUGUGGGGAAAAAUCCCCGAAGUUUUAACUUUGGAUCCAAAGCAUUAGACUUGCGAUUCCACAGAAUUUUGUGACUUUGGAAAUGUUCUAUUGUUUUUCAGUAUAAGCUCAUGAACCUGGAAUGAAGUUGUCCCUUGGGGACAAAACAAAACAGAUGAAAAAUAAAUGCUCGUGUCAGGUCUGGAGACCAAGGGGGUCCUGAGCCAUGGUCUUUAAUGUGUUUCUUUUCCAUCAAGUUCAGGAGCAACUUUGAGCAGGAUUUGCUGCAGUUGAGGGAGACAGAAAAAAAAGCUCAUAUCAAAAAUAAAAGAAGAACCCUGAAUAAGAUUUUUCAAAAAGCAGUUUAUUUUCCUAUAUAAGACAUCCAGAUCCAAAAGUGAAUGGUGAGUCAGGAGUGCACUCAGGUACAUGGUUCCAACAGCAGCUCCCAGGCUCCUCUGACUGGGGCUCUGCUGGAAGGCAAGUCAACUCGAGCUCACAGCAGCAUAAACAUGGGAUGAUGCGGAGCUCCUCAGGCUUCUGCCUCCUCCUUUUGGAGGCCACACAAUGUGCACGUCGUGUUCCUGAAUUCAUGCCUCUUCUGGCAAUUUGUUUGCCUGAUUCUUAAAUGUCUGUGUUCAUCUUGGUCUACACCAGUGCCCAGAGCUCUGCCAAGCUGCCAGCAGCUUGCUGAGACCAUGGACAGAUGCCUCAGCUUCCCACUGAGACUGCGCCCAUGUCUCUGCCUCCCUGCCUGUUGCCAGCUGAUCCCAAAGGAGCUGAGGAGCUGCCAGGAGGAUAUCAAGAGUGCAGCCACACAGAAAUGCACUCCCCAUGUUCUAAGUGCGGUGUGCUUAGGAGCUAACCCUAGCAGAGAGACUGAAAGAUGAGAGUUUCUCCCGGGGCCUGCUUUUAACUCUCCAUGGCCCUGUUUGGGAACAGGCUGUAGUCACUACAUGCCUUUAGCUUGAACUUGCACUUCAUCAGUCUGGGAGGAAGAAUGGAAGAAAUGUUCUGAGAGAAAAUUCCAUUUAUGUCUUCUGCCACCUGCUAAUGGCAUAUGUGAGCUGCUGCGUGCCAGUAGCCGAUGGCAAAGAUAACAUCACUGUGGAGAAAAUUGUGCAGUGCUGAAAAUGAGACUCAUGUUCCAGAUGACCCGAUAGUUCAGCUCCUGCUGGGGCCGGGUGUGGGGCCAAGCUUUGCUCACCAACACUCACACAGACACAUUCAGUGUGAUGGCCUUGUUGGAAUCCCAGAAAUUAAAUUUUUUAGGGCAGGCAAAAGGAUAAAAGCUGAAGAGCUUCUGUUCACAUCCAGCCCCAAAUCAGGCUUUUCUGCAUAUACCUCCAGCCUAAUUACUAUGAGCCAGAGCAAGGGAGGCUGACAGGUGGGAACAGCUGUCAAAGUGCCGGGUAAAGCUACUGGUCUGAAAACUGACAUAAUGGCAGAGUAGACAUGGUGGGCAGCUCUUUAGAAGUAAACAUCCAUUUACAAUGGGAUUGUAGAAAUAUUUGAAGCACUUAACAGCAAGAUCCUUGUUGCUUUUCACAUUCCUGCUGCCUGCAGUUUUUGCUCAGUGAGGGAAUUCAUAGUGUUUUGUGUGAACCAAGAAGUAAUUGUGAGCAACUACUUAAAUAGCCCUAAUUAUGUUUGGAGAAGGCUGGUCCCUGAAAGCAGCUAGGAUCUGUGAAUAAACAUAUUGUCACAGGUGACCACCUGCUCUAUGCAUAUGGAUCUAAAAAAAAGCCACUUUGCUAAGUUUAAAUACCUCAAAGAAAAGCUGAGCAGACCCCAGACACCAGCAGCCAUGCCUGCCAAAGCAGCAUUGCAUGGGGCUCAGCACGGGGAGCAUGGCUCGGGGCCUUGCGACCACAGCACAUUCCACCAGCCCGAGGUGUCCUCUUGGGGGGCCAGGGCCUUUAAAUACCCUAUGGACAGAGAAAGGUAAAGAGACUGGGUCCCCUGAAUGGGGGAUGGACAAGCCUAGAGGCUUACCUUGCUUAAUCCUUGGGCAAACACAGUCAGUGUCUGCUGAGUCCAGCAGCUGCUCCCACCUGCACCAGCACCAACCCCACCUGUGCCAGCACUGCCCGGCACAGCCGGCCCAGAGCUCCCAGGGGACAGAGGGCACCUGCUCACAGCCUGGAACCUCCUGGGAGUGGAGAGCACCUGUUCUUCCAGCUUGGCUGUGGCCCUUAGCAGAAUUUUUGAAAGAGAAAGUCUGUGACAGAGCAAAUGUGAAGCUAUUGAACAUGUUCAGCCCUUCAGCAUAGGGGUUGAAGAGUUCACAGUGACGGCUGAGAUAAGGCCAAGCCUGGUGGUGGGCCCCAAGCUGCCCCUGCUCCACCGGCCUCCUCCUCCUCCUGCAGUGAGCACCCAGCUGCCUCACCCCACCAUUAACCACAUCUAGCUUCAGCACAACUUAACAGCAUAGAAUUAUAAUAUCUUAUGACACGGAAAUGGGUCAGAAACAAACUCUGUGCCUUUCUGUAUUAACCUGGUGGUUCUUUUAACAGCUAGAAAAAAUUUCUUAGUAUUUGUGGUAAUCAGUCACAUUUCUUUCCUUUUUGUUCUGUUUUGAUCACUGACUGCUUUCAGCACUCCUCGUGCAUGGCUUUGCUCAGGGCUUGUGCAUUUCUUCACAACCAGCUCCUGUUACUGCAAUACAUUGAAGUCAGUGCUAGUGAUGGUCACUGUGCAGGGCUGUGCUGAGUCAGCAGCUGCUGGAAGCCCUGUUCAGCAUUUUCCCUCCAGGGCUAGCAAUGUCCCAAAGAGCCACGGCAGGAAACAAGAUGGCUACAGCAUCACUCAUCUCAGUUUAAUUUACUGUCAGAUUAAAUAAAUUUUUUAAUCCCCUGUGAUAAAAAUCUUUGUGAUCUCUGUAGUGGAUAAAGAUAUUUGGUCCGGCCAAGUAGCCAGUUUUAAACCAGGCAGUAUAAACUCCUUUUUCACAAAGGCAGGUGAUUUUGUAAUCACUGUAUAUGCUAUAUCCCACCAGGAAAUUGUUAUUCUAUAACAUCAGCUGCAACACUAAAUUUGCUUAGGAUUUCGUUGGAAUAGUUCGAGCUUUUGGUUUGCUUCAUUACCACAUCAGAAAGCUGAGUUUCUCUACUAUGUGAACAAAAGAGAUGAGAGCAGCAUAUUUUACAAGAAUGAUGAGCAAGCAUCUUCAGUUAGAUGAAGAUGGGAAGUCUUGUGGUCAGACACCCACUUAAGAGACAUAAAACUUAGAUUGUUUCCACUACUGAACAGAUUUUUUAAUAUUAUCUUUAAGCCCCAUCUUCCCCAUUUAGGACUUUGUGAGGUUCAAGCAAUUCAUAUUUCCUAAAUUGAUUUCUCACUGCCUCCUAUAAUCAUUCUGGCUGGGUAGGUUUGUUCUUUUGCAACAACCAGAUUUAAAUAUGAGCCAACCUGGAAGAAAUAAGUAGCACAGGAUGUAUAAGCUCUCACUGAGAGAAUACCCUCUAGUGCACCUAUUUAAAGAAUUUAUGUUUAAUUAUGGUGUUACGAGCACUGGCCACGUGCAAGGAAAGCAUCGCUUUCCUCAGCUGACACAGAUCUGUUCAGCUCAGAAAAGCCAGGAUACAGCAGAAAAUGUUGUGAUGAUAUCCAUUCUCCUCUUGGGCUGGGAUAUGCAAAGCUCCUCUCAGGAACGACUAAGUGCUUUCCUCCUGGUGUGUUACAGCAGCUUUCCAAGGACCAACCCAUGGGUACACAAGAACUCAUAAGACAAACACCUUGAGCUUCUAGACUCCUAACUUAUUCCCAGGAAACUUCAUUACUGACAUACACAGUGAUGAGAACCUCCUUUGCAUUCCCCCAUGCACAUCUUCUGAAGGAUGUACUACAGAGAGGGACAGGAUGGCAUUUCCUAGCUUUCAUCAACAUAGAUCACUGUACCAGAGCAGCCCUUUGUUUUGUAAUAGCAAUGAUAACAUUGGGCAUAUACCUCCUGUUUCCAAUAAAGAGUCCUCGUUGCAUGGCCCAGAACCGAGCACAGCUGAGGCACAGGCUUCGCCUGACAUUCCCAUUUUGCAUCACUCUGGACAGGGCAGGGAAAGCACUUACAGUGACCCUGGCUACUGCAGGGGAGAUACAUUCCCCAAAGGCUGUUGGCACCAUAUAUUCAAUCCCUCAGCACCAGCAGACACAGGUCAGUGACAAGACAGGUGAAAGAAUAAGGCCUGAGGUCAGUAGAUGUCCAGUACAGCCACUGAAGCUGCCUGCUUCCAGGAGCUGAGGCUGCCGCUCUUAAGGAAACAAAACUCCUGCCUGGUAGUAUACAUCUUCAGUUAUCACACAAAAAAUUUUAAAGCCAAACAACAAUCACCUAGCCAAGUGUUUAGGGUGGAAAAAUAUCAAAAAUCAAGAUGAGACGGACAUGGUAUGUCUCCUGCCUUGAAUUCCUGGGAAUGUUUGUUGGUGGCAUGCCUGGUUAUGGCGUGCUGGUUGGACACAGGGCCAGGACCGUGCUGUUCAUCUACCAGCCUGAUCCCCAUCCUUCCUUUGGCUGAAGGAGAUGCAGGUUAAGCCUGGGUGGGACAACUGUCAGGUAUUAGGAAAGAUCACUUACGCCCACAGGUCACUUCCCCACCAAGGCGUACCUUGUUCCAGGGGUGUUACAGCCCUCCCCAGUUGUGUGGGACCUCAAGGGGGUUGAGAAAGCCCAUGGAGCAAAUAAGGUGAAUGGCACCAAACUUUCCAGGGGAAUCAAUUUUGGUGAAUGUUGCCCACCUAUAAUUCAGAGGCACUCUUUGCAGUGAGGCAGUGCAGGCAGGCAGAGCAGUGUUCAUGUCAGAAUGGUGCAGGUCCUUUUGCUGUGCUACAGCUGAAGCCCAUAACGUGGAGAAAGAGAACCUCAGUCACAGGGCUGAGCAGGCAGGGUCAGAUCCUGCCACAGUUUUGUCUCAUAACUAGACAGACCCCAUACUUUUCAAGUUGCAGAACUUAAGCUUUUUGCAUAUCAGCUUUACAAAUGCUAGUUAGUGGUUUUGCCACUUUUCAUCUAUUAAACUUCUUGGGUUUAUCCAUGUUCCAUCCGGAGUUCAAUCCAUUAAACCCUAAUUUUUCUGCCCUUCCUCACUUGUAAGUGGAAGAGGUCACCUUCACAGAGGCUGGUUCAGGGGAGAGUGGUAGUAGCCAUGGAGUGCCCUGUCCAGUGACGUCUCAAAUGAAAGAUAGGAUGGCUCUGAAAAGCAUGAUAAGUCUUUGAAAAUUAAGAUAAUACCAAUGCAGGCCCGUACCUGCUGCUAGCGUGUGAGAUUCAGAAGUGCUGCUGCUGAACAGCAUUUCCAUGCCAGGAACCGGCACCAGCUGCUAUGGAUGCAAAUCAGUCCUGCAGCUGAUCCUACAGCAUGGGUUCUGGACUCCUCCAGUUCUUGGACUCUUUCACCUCUGCAUCACCAGGAUUUCUUCAGCACGGUCAUUAACAGCUCACACAUACCUGCCACACCUUCCAGCACACGCCUCUGCAUUCCUCGUCCUGCUCCAAGAUCUGCUUUGUUCAUGGACUCAGCUCUUGGAGCUCACACUCACUGUGUGAUUCACAUGGGAUCAAGUUAUAUGAAGUGCUGGCAAGUUGUGGUCAUGAUGGAUUUAGCCCUGUCCUUGAAAGAACAGAUCCUGUCACAUAAGCAGUUGGGAUGUAUUUUACAACUUGCAUAGAGAAAAAAUGUACUGGAAAUACCUUAUCUGUAGUGACAAUCUCUGGACCUCAGUACACAUAGAAAUCCAGUGAUGUCCAUCGUUUGACAUGCAUUUGUCUGUUCUGUAACCUGUGACCAGAGUUCACAAGCUUUCUCCCAGCCUCUGCUCAGCUUAUAAAGCUUUUCCUGCCAUCUGUCACAUUUGCCAAGUCUCCAAUCCCUGAGUGCUGCCAGUAUUUACAGCUCUCAGAGCUGCUGGGGCAGACAGGUCUGUGUGCAGGGAUGCAGUACCUGGGAGCUCUGAUGGAAUAAGCUGAGGGCCCCAGCACCUGACCCUAGAGGGUGCCUGGACUGAAAAUGGCACAGGCCAGAUGGAAAAUGAUCCCACCUUCUGCCUUUCUCAUCAUUGUUCUUACACGGCACAGCAAACCAGAACCUUAGACCAGCACAACUCCUGUUGUUGCUUGCUCUGCAGUCUAGGAAAAAAAACAACCCAGCUCCUCAUUUCCACACAAGUGGGAACCAGUAGUGGUUGGCAAAUUUCUAGACUUGGCCAAGGGAAAGAUCUGAGUCCUUGCUUAAUAUUAAAAAACUCUGCUUAGGCUGGUUUCAUUUUCCAUCUUUUUAUUCUACUCUCCAAUUUUAUGUCUUUAUUUUUAAGGUUUACAUAGCAUCAACUGCUUCUCAAAUAGCUCUGUCCUUUAACUAGACUUACGAGCUGUUUACCUAACAUGUUACCUGAUAAUAAUUAAAAUUAUAAUGUGGUCUGGAGAAAAAAAAAACAAGAAGUGCUAUCUCGGAAGUGUUUGUGAAUUUUUACAGUAGACGAGGUGUCCCCAGGCUCUGGGUGGGAAAGAUGCCUCACAGAUUUCCCUCAGUUUCCCCAGCCCCCUUUCUGAACAUGCAGGUUGGUGUAUAGAUAGAGAACUUGUUCAUUGUAAAAAGGAUGUUGCCGACAGCUUCACUUCAGGCGCUGUGCAAAAGAGCUUCAUUUGGGAGAGCUGCCCAGGAGCGGGGAUGGAAACACAGUAGUCAGGGGCUCUGGGAAGAGAAGCCUCUGUUGACAUCAGCCUGAGGGUGUGCUGGUCAGGGGCUCUGCCAGCGUUCUCAAGGGCAGGAUGGCCUGGUGGUAGGAAAGGGCUGUUCUCUGGGACUGAUCCCAGCUCGCACCUGCUUUGAGGCUGUGGAUUCCUUUUGUUGGCUCCCUGCAAUACUGUUUUCAUUUAGUAAAUGACACACCUGGAGAGGUGAUAUUGCUCCUGACUGCCGCAGAAACUCUUCUGACCACACACCAGCACAAGGCUUUCCCACUCUCUGUUUUGUUUUCUACUCUGAGCUCUGCAGUCUCACACCCAUGCUAUGCUGGCAUACACAAAACUGCACUUUAAAAGUGACCACUCUGUGACCAUCACAAAAAUCCCUCCUUCUGGUAUUUUUGCUAGCAUCAGUCCCCAGAACACAGGCCUUAACAAAGGGAACAUAUUCCCUACUGAUGUGCCAGACAAAAGUUCAUGGUUUUGUCUUGCUGAAAAAGAAGUCUUGAUUAUUCAUGCAGUUCCCAAUGAGUCACUCCACACCCUUGAAUUAUUUCUGACAGAUGUGAAAUGCCUACUGCUGAAUUCCUACUCCAAGGAACCUUUUGCAUGACUGGUUUAUCAGUGAAUGUGAGCAGACUCAUGAUUUAGAGUGCUUCAUCAUCAUGGCAUGUGUAAGACUGAACACAAUGACUAGGGAAACCAGACCCACCUAUUUUUGGUCAUAGGUUCAGAGCCUCCAAAAUCUGCCAGCAGCCACACAAGAGGUGCUCACAGAGGGCUGGGUGUGUGCACAGGGAAACCCAGUGUACCCUGAAACUCUCAAAAAUGGGUUGGCUGAGCGCAUAUGAAUUCACUCUCAGGGAUGAUAUGGAGACUGAGGUGCUAACCUGAAGGCCAAUUUCUGUCACUUUGCACCUUCUUGCUUUCUCUUUGUUGCCAGGAGUGUUUUUCCCACUGGCUACAUACUCAGCUGUGGUGCAAGUCACAUGUGGUCCCUGUCCCUGUGCAAGCCAAGGAGAUCAGACCUCCCCAGCAGUGAGGGUAUGCCCAGCUUGCUGCCCUUAGCCUGCUGGGCUACCCCAACAUCCUGCAAGCUGGAAGUGCUCUCUGCUGUGUUUCCCUACAAGGGUGUUAGUGCACAUCUCUCUGUAUACUGUCAGAGGCACAUGCAAACUUUCAUCCACAGCCUGCAGAAGAUAGGUGAAAGCCAUUUCCCAAAGGCUCUAAGGCCUCUCCCAAAAUGAGGGGUAACCAGGCUGGCCUGAGUACAUUUCAUUUCUCCUACAAAAAAAAAAGGUCUUUCAGGGAACCUUCUCUGAACAAAAACCUCCUCCAAAGCGAGAAGGCAGCUGCAGUAAGGAUGCCAUGGGGGUACAGACAGCUCAGAGCUGCUGCUCUCAGCUGCACCCACUGUGCACCACGGACAGGAACACAGCCAGGGCAGCUCACCUGCUAACUCUGGGACAGCCUAACACCACGAGACUUAGUCUGGUCAGACAGAAUCGUUCCCCUGUACAUGCCAUGCAUGUAUCUCACAGGAAACAGAGAGGUUCCUUACCAAAGGGAGCUCUGAGCUCCCUCUCAGAAAGCCCCAGCAGCAAUCCCUGUUGGCACACCUGCAGUGAAAGGGCUGACUUGCUCUCACUGAUGGCUGCGUUUCAGCAGCAUUCCUGAGGAGGUGGCCAGGCCUGGCUCCAUAUGAGGUUAAGACAUUAUGUCUGCAAUGGGAGAUUUUAGGCUGAGAUUCCACAUUUUUCUCCUGCGGAAGUCUUGUCACUGCAAAACAAAACAACAGCACCCAGAGCCAUGUUAAGUCACUGUAGUGAUUCCAAAACCCAUUAUUCCUCUGGCUAAUUAAAAAAGCUCCAAACUUGCUCCAAACUGCAAAUUUUGUAUUUGCAUUGGUGAAACUCCCCUCUUCUUUUUAUCCACAGAUGAUCAUGAUACGUUUUUGUUCAACAAUUAAUCAUUUUUAUGUCAGGUUUGACCUGGUUUAGGGAUUUAAAUUGCAUGUCUCACUGAAGGGAAUCUCUAAUUGAGAUACAAAUCUGAGCACCUGUGAAAGACUUCAAGUUUUGUGCACAUGCCUAAGUACACGUUUUUAAAUGUAUGUUUUACUACUUUAAAGGCAUCUACACAGAAUGUCAGUGGAGGUUGAUCUGUCGUCACUGUCUUGUCAGCAGACCCACUGGAUUCUGACAGCUGAAUAGAGGCCAUUAAUUAAAACUGCCAGGUUUUGUCAGACCUUUGUCAGGCUCCCUAGAUACUUCAGUCUUAUGCAUUUCAAGCAUUCGCAGCAGGAACAAGACUAAAUCCUUCCAUUUCCCUGGUAAAUUCUAUGCCUCUCUUUCUAAGAAAGAGAAUUUAUUCCUGCAGCAAUAACCCUUUGCAUUUUGAAGCAGGGGUGUCAGUGCAACCUGGUUCUGCAUUGAGAAGUGCCAGGGUUAGUGACAACUCCUCAGAGGGAAGCUGUGCAAAAGUUCUGGCAUUGACUCCCCACCCUCAGGAAGGUUACAGGGGAUAAUGCCACAAGUUUUGCAGGAAUAAAGAGCUUUUUUCUUACUUUUCUAAGAAGGCUCUAUGCUAGAAUAAUCAAACAAAAAUUGGACCUGAGUUCAGGUCCCUCUGCUCCCACAGCUAUCCUCACUGGAGUCGGUAACUGCUGCUGGGAAGAUAUGGCUCUCAGAUAGUCAUCCUUAAAGGAGAAGUGUUAGUUUUGCAUGUAACUAUGACCUAUUUUUAAAAUUUUGGUAUAUAUACAAAUUUACUCUUUAUAGCACAUCCAUGGACCCUUUGGAAUGUAUGCGAUGCAGAGCCAACGGUCAACCCUUAGACUCAUGUUUAGAAAACACCAGAUUUGUUUGUUUUACAUGUUUGUAAUCGUCUCUGGCUAUAUUAUCAUUUAUGAAUUUCCGCAGUAGCUUUCAAAGUAAUGUUGGUUUGUCUGGAUAUUAAUAUUGCUAAAAAGCACUUAAAAUGUCAACUACAAGAACAGUUGUUUGCUCCUUCUCACUACUACAGCCUAACACAGAUGUGAAUCAUGAGCCAUAUUGCUAAUUGCUACAGCUUCUGAAAUCAAAGUAAAGCCAAAUAAUGUAUAGCCCAGCAUAGAUAUAUUCCCUAAAGACACAGAAGUGUGGUGCUGCAGCCCCCUAUUUUUUAGGAGAAAAGGAGGAUAUAUGGUAAGAGGCUAGUGUCAAAUUCUCCCUUCCUAGGUGGUGACUGUGUUUUUGUAUGGAUAAUCUGUUCUUUCCAUGCAUUGCUCAGAGGUGGAUCCUAUUCAGAAACCCCUUCCCUGCCCCGCUGGAUCAGAGGGUUAUUUCACCUUCAUGUAGAGCCCUGUUCAGCUAGAAUAUCACAGAUUUGCCUCUGGGACCAACCUGAGCUGCAACAGAGCACAUACAAGACAGGUUUUAGUUCAGACGGCACAUGCAGUUUGCACACUUGUGAGGUUUGCUGACAGCAGACUUCCAUGUGGAAAUCACACCAGUAAUGAAUAUAUUCCAAAGGGAAUUAAUGAAGCACUUUCCAUGUGGGUUCCCAUGCCUGCAGGGAGGCAGCUAUGGAGGUAGGUAUCUGGUGUCUCGGAUGUUCAAGAGGAUUUUUCCACAGCUCACCUGUGGACUCUGGUGGUGGGUUUAGAGACUCCAUUGCCCACCACACUGUAUCCUCUGAGGCAUUGUCUGCAGAAACUAACACAGUAGCCAGGUCCCUUCUCAUGGGCCUGCCCAUGGAAUGAGGGACUCUGGGCCACCUCUGGGCCAUCUCUCACAUCAGAGUCAGCCUACCUGAGGAGUUCACUUUUCUUCUUCAUGGAAUGGUGGCAUCUCAUAAGACCACUUGUUGUUAGCUUAUGCACAGCACGGUGCAGGUGUAAGGAAUAACCAUAAUGCUGAAUUACAAAGUGGUAUGAGUAAGAGCAUCUGCUAAUGUCUGCAGAUAUAUGAGGUCAGCAAGUUUACAUUCCUUCAGGUCAGAGAACAGAACAAGUGUGAUCUUAUCCCCAUGCCAGUUUCUCCACAUUGCAAAGUCACCGCAAGGCAUGACGACACACCAUUCCUGCUCUGGGAGCAAGGGACCGAGGGCUUGUCUGCACCGCCUGGGAGAACAAACUGUAAGGAACAAACAGGCACAAGCAAUCUCUAGGUAAGAAUGCAAAGGAGAACAAGCUCACUGGUUUUCCCACAGCAUGAAGCAGGCAGGCUCACAGUAUGUACUGCCAAAAACAUAUAAAUGUUCCCUAGUGAAAUCUGACUGUAUUUAUGAGGGACUGCAAGAUCUUAGUGCCCAUCCUCACUUGGUGUCUGCUCACCUGGGGAGAAGAAGACGUAUUCUAUUUAAAGUAAUGGAUCCAAUCUGGUGUCCAGCCCUGCCGAGCCAUGAGGGAGAUGACAGCAUGACAGAGGAAGUGCAUUUUCCUUCUCCUCACUUGUUAUUCUGUGUGGUCAUGUAUUAAUUCUUAAACUUAACUCUUUUAAUUAUUUUUAUGAACCUUACUGAUGUCACUCUGAAUAUUACUGUUAUCUUUAUAAAUACACAACACCCUUUCUCUAGAAAUUUUAGCCAUCCAGCCAACAUGCCCUAUGACUUUGAAAUCAGUACAGAAAAUUUAUCAACAGAAUUGAAAAUAAAACUAAAUUUAGGAUGAAAGCUAUACCUUAUACCCUCAAGGCUUAUAAAUUUAGUCUUGUCCAAUGUAUGAGUGCAUGUCCCCAAAAUUAAUAUAAUUCUGAAAGUUUCAUAUGUUUGUCAGACAGAACCAGACAAUUUUAGAGGCAUAUGUAUGUGUGCAAAACAAAGUUAUGGUUACAAAGGCACAUCCUGGAUUACAGAAAAUGUCAUAUCAUACAGAGAUUUCCAUAAGGAUAGGAAUUGCUCAGGAUUGGCAUGGGUCAAGCAUAACUUUAAAUGCUAUUCAUUGGGCAAUACCCGAAGGAUCAGACUCCAUCUUGAACACCUUUGCUCACUGUAAACUACACAGUACCUAGAUAAGAGCUGAAUACAUAAUAACCAGAUUUUUAAAUUGAUGGCCAAACCCAAACACCUACAAGUGACUGCAGCUAUUGAGUAACAAAGAAAGAAGUCAAUUUCUGAAGACCUACUUGGAUAACACAAUUAUUCUUUUUGAUGCAUAAAACUUGAAUAGGGCUCUGGGAAUUAGAAAUAUAAAAAUAAUGUCGAUGAUGAAUUUAAAAUGUUCCCCAAACAAGGAAUUAAGGAAGUCUUGGGAGAGGUCUUGUGGUGAACUUGAAUCUUUUCACAGUUUUUAAUUCUAAGUUUUUUUCAUCAUCUCCAGUGGUUACUUCGCAACUGCUGUGGGCUAUUGGAUAACCCAUCUGGGCAGCACACAGCUCCUGCCACAGGCCAGGAUCCCAAAACUGCAUGUGCAGCAUCUGUCAUCCUGGCCCUGCCUAUGCUGCUCCUAUUUUAUAACUGCAGACCUCAAACAAUGAACAAUGCUUGAUAGUCAUCAACCUGAUUUCAAAAAUGGAGUAACUGUGAUGUAAUGAGAUGAAGAAACUCACUCGAUACCAUUGAAUCAAUUGAUGUCCAUACAAGGAUUAGACACAUUUCCUCAUUCCUGGUGCUGUUUGUAACCUACCACAAAAGAACACUAAACCCACUUCUUAUGGCCAUUCUCCAUGCUUCAACAGACCAUGGCAUCAAAGGACUAGGCAAUAAAUCUUCACUUCUCACAGUUUGUUUUUUUUUUAAAGAACGUCUGUUAUGAGAGAAAACAGGGCUUCAGCAGCUGCAGGAAAGAGCCCUCACUGUGCAUUCUUUCACCGUGUAGUUCCUCUCACAUUCUGCCUUUCUGUUCUCUCACUGUGCUCCUGAAGAACCCUGAGUCCAAUCAAGUGUUAAGGCCUGCAGUACCAUUGCUAUAGAUCAGAUUCUGAUCACUUUAUUCAUUAACAAAAGGGUUUCCUUUUGUUAGUGUGUGAACCAGCAUUCUGUCUAGUGAGGUUCCUUAUAGACCAGAACGUCACUGUGCUAUACAGUACCCAGCUUUGUCUGCUCUGGAUUUGCAGAUCCCCAAAUGUCUUAAUUUACCAUGUACUACUCCCUAUAAACAUAGCUGCAAAAAUAAGGGAUUGUCCUGAAGUCACGAUCCUACCAGAAGCAUCCUGUUAUAAAGCUUUUUCUUUCACAGCCGAGUGGGCCAGUGCCAGUAACCCCUGCAGCAGUGUGCCCAGGUAGAACAAGGGCCAGCAGACACUACCAGGGUGUGGGUUUCAUUUCAGCAAGAGGAGCCUGAAAAAUGUUAAGUCUAAUUAUUUACAAAGUGAAAACAGGGUUACAGGGAUCCUACCUGCAUGCAACUGUCUAUGAGUCAUGGGAGGAAGUAAUCCAUGGUCCACAUUCUACAGGGAAAAGCCAUAUGGACUUGUCACUUGGGGUUCUUUGUACAGAAUGCAGGUCCCUGUCAGGUUCCUGUCACUGGCUCUAUUUCACAUCCCACAGCUUGUCUUUGGGAGCAAAAUUCCAUAUCUACCCAGUUCUACCUAAACUGGUUUUGGUUAUGCUGAUGUGACUUAAAUGCACACUCUGAUGUCAAACCCCUUCCAAUGUGUGGCAGACAGCAGGCUCUGGCUUGCAGUCCUCCAAUUGCUGUGCUCGAGAGCUUUGAUGACCACCAGCUCUGGGGAGCCACUGCAGCUCCAUGGCAGCCAGCAGCACUGACUGUCCACAGAAUAUCUUACACUGUGAAGCCAGCACACUCCUUCCUGCCAACACAUGUGCAAAGGGGGAAGCAGAAACGAGAAAGCAAAUGCAAUAGGGAAAGAUAUAAACUGAAAAUGUGGGAGGGAACUGAAAGCAUCUCUCUUCUCCUUGCACAACUUCAGCUCCAGCUUUCCAAGCUUCUGCUGUGCAUCACCUCUUCUACAUGCAGAACAGAACCUUGCUUCCCUUGUCUGAGAACACAUGAAGAAGUACAGGUUCAAAAGUCCUUCAGUCAUUUAACACUCAAAAUCACUGUUCACCCCAUAUCCUACAUGGUACCAAUUCAUCUGCAAAAACAGAGAUGCAGAAACAACAGACUAGUGCAACAUGCAUCAUACACUCCAAAAUAUGCUCAAGAGAGCUUACACAGUGCACUGCUCAGUGUUCACAGGAGUAAGCAGAAGAUCAAGAAACCCUAGAUUUUACUUUGGGCACUGACUUGGUCUGAAACUUUAAGUGAAUAAUUUCCAGUUUAGGUUUCAGUUUUACUGCCUGAAAAAAAAUUGGAGAUAUUAUUUAUAAAGCUUGGAGAACUUCCACAAAAUUUGCCUAAAAUCCACCCGUUAAUUACAUUUCAACAGAAGCUGAGAUGUGUCUGUGUACCCUUCACAGAAGCAGCACUCCAGAAACAGUUCAUGGUACAGAAGAGCUGGCAUAUUUCUUUUAACAAUGGGAUGAAUAAUGGUGUUGAAGGCCUGGUUCUGGGAAGUACACUGGAAGAAAACGGGUAUUUCUUUAGGCAUCAUGCUAUGGGAAAAGAUAUUUAUAUAUGUCAGAGUUCUUGAAAAGAGCAAUUUCAAAUAAUUUCAAAUUCUGUGUGUACUGCCAUGCUAGUCUGAACAUCAUGCCUGCAUGCACAGAUUUAACUUUAAGAAAAAAACCUACCCCCUUCCUGCUACUUGUGUGUACAUUGGUAUUGCUUAACCUUCACAUUCUUAAAAAGCUCGCCGUGAGCCUUCUCACAUGCUAAAUCUAUCCUACUAGGUAUUUACUUACCAUUAUAAAAGUCUUUUACCACAUGAGUAAACACAGAAAUAUUUACACAGGUUAACUGUGAUAUUGGUCUACAUAGAAUAAAUAAAUAAUACACUGUUCUGUAUUUCAGCACCCUGUUUCCACAUCAUUUUUCUUCCUCUGACUUGUUCUGACCUAUGUGUACUCCCAAAGACCUCACUGAUGUGAUCCCCUGCCAGCCAGAGUGGGCUGUGACUGGGCAGGCUCACCCUGAGUAUCACCUCUGACUUAGUGAGGCACAGUAUCACCAUCAGACCGCAAAUUAGGCCCUGGCUGUCUUGUUGCAGGAGCUGCUUGCCACAGUCCCCCUCAGCCAGGUAGAGAAGAAUAGGAACAUGCCCACCACCCCAGUCUCCACCUCUGAGAGUGAUAUUUUCUCAGAGCCUACAUCCUUUCCUUCAGCAAACUUCCACUUACAGCUCACACCUUGUGCCCAGCUGGUUUUGCAUCAGUUCACACACGCCAGCAAUCAGCUCGCUAGCAAUGAGGGCUAUUGGGGAUGGGCCACACAACUCACAAGCAAACAUCCCCACCACAGAAUCUGACACCUGGGGGGACUGCAGCAGACCUGCUUUCAGAAUUGUGUUCCAUCCCCUGUAGAGCACCGUGCCACCUGCCAGCCGGUUACAGGACAAUGUUGACCUCAGCUAUUGACUAUGGCCUUUGUUAUGGGCACCAGAUGAGACGGAAAAAAGUCAGCUCCGAGUUAAUUUGAUAGAGAAAUGUCCUGAAACUUAAAAAACACAGCACAUCUUUGAUCUAGACAGUGCUCAAUUCAUAGUAAGAUCUGUAAUCUUCUGAGUACCUCACUGAGGGGAGAAGGUGAGGUGGCUUUUUUAUGGGCAGCAUAACGCAACCAAAAGACCAGGAAAAUCACAAAAAACCUUCUUCCGUUCUCCUUCAGCUGAUCUUUUUUUUGUAUGACUGCAUCAUUUAAAACUGUUUUAUGACUUAAAACUGAAUAAACACCAAAACCUCCUAGAGUGGAGAGACCACAACAAAACUGCUUACCAGCUGAAUUAGUCAUAAUGCCCACUGCUACGUGGUGCUGGAGUGAGUUAUCUACGGAGUGAGUAUCAGCUAGGACAAGCACGAUUGUCCAUGGAGGGAAAUCUACACCACUUGUGGUGUUCUAUAAUCAAACCUUGUCUGACUAAUACUUUAGUAGAGCAGAUGACUUUUUUUUUCCAUUUUCUAACAUUAUGUAAAAACUGAAAAAGAAAACAAGUGAAGAAUAGAGGUCAAAUUUGUGCUGACCUGGAACAGGGUUAUUCAAGAGGUAGAACAAGACCAAAAGCACUUUAGAGGCAAUCUGAUGGGGGCCAUGCUUAUUUAUGUGACUUGAAAUUGUUAUUUUCCUAAAGAACACGGAAGAAAAGGUGAACACAAAAAGGUGAAUAGACAAGUGUAAAAUUUACUACUUCCGAGAAAAAUAAUUCAUAUACUUUCACAGAGUAAAUCUCCUUACAGAUAUUUGAUAAUAUACUCCAUAAUAAAUGCCAAGUAUCUCAUUUUGUUGGCGUGGCCCAGUCUUAAAUGGAUGCAGAUUUUCUUCACAGGUUUGUCACCACAGUGUAGAAGUGACAGGUACUCUUGCAGUUCACUGCACUUAGAGAGGGAUUCACCUCUGGAUUUUCUACUAUUUUUCUGAACCAUGUUUGGUUUUAGUAUAAACAUAUCUGACAUAUUUUCCUAGUAUGUGUCUGAAUACUAAAAGAACCAGUCACAACAACCUGAUGCCUGCAGCUCCAGGCAGAUUCAGAGUGAUUUUUAAUCCCUGUGCCAUCCCCUGCCAGAAUCAAACCAUAGCACAUGCCACAGCACGGCAACAGUGAGAAUACAUGAUCGCCACUUCAGCUCCAGCAACAGUUACUGCAUGUGUAAUGUUUGAAUGCUCUGGUUGUUUGUCCACCUUAAUUUCAGAUACAAUUAGAAACUGCUUGAGAAUUCCAAAGGCUCUGCUCCUAGUCUAGGCUUAAGUUAAAUCAUUGGCAAUGCCUGCACUUGACUGGUAUUUUAAUGGAUCUAUGGGUAGAAAGUGGUUAGAAACCGCUUCCUCAUGGUAAGAGACAUCGCUCAAACUUGGUAAGUGCUUGCUGACGCCUGUUUCCAAACUGGAUUUUGAUGGGAAUUCUGCUUAAACAAUGAUUUCAAACUCAAUUCCUGUAUCUCAUGUAUGCCUGACACUACUAAUUUCAGUUACCCAAUUCCAUACAUUUUUAAGAGACAGCAAUACAACAUCAAGACUGAAUUCCACAUGAUAUUUGCACUUCUCAGUAAAUUUAUCCACAAAUAUAGAAGUCACAGUGUGCUUCUAAUUUUAGAAUUAAUACAGACUAAAAAACCAUGUGAGAAUUGAACUUUUUGAUGUUGCAGAACUACUUUUUUUUGUAGCAUCGAUUAAAGUUUUUCCUAGCAGAAACUUGUUUCCUUUUUAUGGCUUGGUAUGUCAUGCUACAGCAAAAGAGCAACUUCCUUUCUGGAAAAGGAAGGGCAGCAAAUAAUUUUGUUAUGCAUCAAUAUAGAAAUGUUACUAAUAAAAUGGCUUAGCCCUUAACUUUGUCUACUACAGAAUGGUGACCACUAAGGAAAAAUAUUUUCAGUGAUAGAGGUUUGGGAAGCCAGAAACCCAGUUUUGUUUUCCAUGUUCUUAGCACAUUGCUAUUUGCUUUUUGCAACCAUUAAUGUAAGGUAAAUUCCAUUGAUAUAAAUAGGAUAUAGAAUUAGCAGGUGUACCUGAGACUCACUGCAUGGUUAAAUAUAACCCUGUCAAGCAGAAGGGGAAACAACAGUUGCUUGUUAGAAUCAACUGAAAGAAGAUGCCUGCCUUUGUCCAGUGGAACAGUUUGGUCUGACACUAAUGAGCUCUGAAGGUGACUCCACACUUUUCUUACUGGGAGGACUCUCAUGAGCUGGGAAGAGAUAGUUCUUUCUGACAAAUAUUUUCUCCAUUCUCUCAUGUAAUGUACUUGCUGACGAUCACAAGAGCCAGUGUCAAAUGGACUCACAUGCACUAUCUUGUGACAUCAGUUACAAAAAAAAAAACCAGUUACCACUUCUCCAAACAGCAUCUUAAAUAUAAAUCUUGUUUUAGAACAACUACAAGUGUUAAUGGGUGGGGGAACUGCUAGACAACUAACUUAGGAUCCAGUUCUGGUAGUGUAAAGGUGAAAUACUGGGGGUUUAUGGGAUAAACCCAUAAAUGCUGUGCCAGACAGUGCUUUUGUGCUCACCUUUUGAUUGGGCUCUGGAUAAAAGCCUGUUAGGAGUUCUCCAACAGGAGACCAUCUGAGAUGCUCUGAGAUCCAUUGCUGCUGUUCUGGGAAUGGCAGUAGCUAACAAAAAUAGGCUUUUUACUGCAUCAGAGACAAAAGGAACAGCAGCAGUGGCAGUAACAGCAGGGCAGGUACGUCAAGAAAGGGCAGACUCCCCCAGGUGCAAGCUACCUGGACCUGGGUGCUCAAGAAGCCUUGAUGUUGCCUGAGCAGUGCACACCUUGUGCCAAAGCCAGUGCAGUCACACUGACCUCCUGAUUCUGAUACCACUGCCCAUCUGUACUUCCAGGCCUCUCUACUGAUGUCACAAGGACAUUUGGUCAGCUGCAGCCCCGGGAGACAGGAGACAUGUGUCUGGGUGGCCAGCUGUGCACUGCCCAGGUUAAAUGAAACCUGAUCUGGAUUCCACUUGAUCAUAAGACUGGAAUGCUGAAAAUGCUGUAAUCUAUUUAUACAUCGAAUUGAAGAAACAUUGCAUGUCUUUGAAUUUCACUGCAUUCCAGUGUAUUAACUAAAUAGCAACAGCUUACAAACUGUUUCACGUUCAGACUGAGAAAGAAAAGACAGACCAACCUGACUUAUUUAUCCUAAAGCCAGGAUUGAUUUCCUGGUUUUAAAACUAUGGCCCAAACCCAAGCCUGCUCUGUGCCUUCCAUAAAAGCUGUGUUCUUGCAGCAGUAAUUCAUCACUAGUGCCAAAACAUGGUAGUUGCCUUAUGAAGAUUUCCAAAUCCACAGUUCUUUUUCAGCAUCAAGAACAUACUACAACCCCAAACUAGAUUUGCAGCUCAGAUUUUGUUCAUACUUCUCUUCCCUCUGCCUCUAAACCACUAAUGGUUCAAAAUACAGCAGACAGCAAGGCUGAGAACAACUGUGUUAAUAAGAGCAGCCAAAUCACACAGAUGAAAACCAUAAAGGGGCUUAUAUAGCCCAGAAGGUAUGGGCAGUAACUCAUCUACCAACAGACCACCUCAGACCCCCCUAGUGAAACAGCAGUCUCCAGCUCCACAGAACGCUGUCAUUUCCCUCAAUUGUUUACAGAAUCCUUCAGGUGUGCACAGUGGUGUUUCACACAUUAUUUUGACGAGAGGAACUACUCCUAUUCAAACACCACAACUGGGAGCAGCAGCACAAGAUCUACAGAAAAAGCAAAGGUGCUCAUCAUGAAGAAGAGCAUAAUAUGCUAAAGGCCUGUCUGUUGAUCUGUACAAAUGUACGUGCUAGAUUUUAACAUCUCUCAGUGAAGUAAAACACAGCUGCCAUUGACAUUUGAUGGGUUUUGCCAUUGACUUGAAAGGGGUCAGGAUCAGGCUAACAACAGCUGAUGGUAUUUCAUAACAUUUAUUCAUUUCUGCUCACACUUUCAAUGUGUUUCAAUGUGUGAAACAGUGUCCAUUUGUUCUCAGUUGUCAUUCCUAUAAUUUUUUUCAUUACUUGUUGGAUUUAGUGCCUAUUAUUUUCCAUGUAGAAUACUAUGAACACUACAAAGGCAAAAAGAGCAAUUUUUUUAGAGUCAGGGGAGAGGAAAAUUCUGUGCUCUUUGUCACAUGAAACUAUAAGAAGAGCCUGAAGCUAAAUACUGCAAAUACUAUUCAUGGUUCUCUGGAUAGUUAGUGGCCCUUAUAAAUGCAAAAAUCCCAGUUACACAUUCAAAUAACUGCCACUGAAACCUGCAUGGGGAUCCUCCUAGUGAAGUGUGUAAUGGAGAAGGUGACAGAGAGAGUGGGGAAGAAUUACCCAAACCUCUGUCAAGCAACACAGGAGCACUAAGAAGGAGCCUGCUGCUCUUCCACUGCCUGGUCCAUCUGUCCUGUCCAGAUCUUAAAAACCAGGCACAUGGACACCAGAGGGUCCCACAGUGCUGGUGCUCACACACACACAAACAGGAGGCACGUGGGAAUUCCUUUUAACUAACUGUGGCAAAUGUUUUUCUUGAAGGAAAAAAGGGAAUAUGUACAUGCUUGACACUUAAUAAAAAUAUCAGUAUGUUUGUGCCCAACAUAGUGGAAUAU